RNAcentral lists this ribosomal RNA (406 nucleotides) under uncultured bacterium. Its description in RNAcentral is "partial 16S ribosomal RNA". It matches the Rfam family "Bacterial small subunit ribosomal RNA", at positions 30 to 526 of the family's 1533-position model. The record is from RNAcentral.
AUUGAACGCUGGCGGCAGGCCUAACACAUGCAAGUCGAACGAGUGGCGGACGGGUGAGUAAUGUAUGGGAAACUGCCCGAUAGAGGGGGAUAACUACUGGAAACGGUGGCUAAUACCGCAUACUAUCGGAUGUGCCCAGAUGGGAUUAGCUGGUUGGUGGGGUAAAGGCUCACCCAGGCGACGAUCCCUAGCUGGUCUGAGAGGAUGACCAGCCACACUGGAACUGAGACACGGCCCAGACUCCUACGGGAGGCAGCAGUGGGGAAUAUUGCACAAUGGGCGCAAGCCUGAUGCAGCCAUGCCGCGUGUAUGAAGAAGGCCUUCGGGUUGUAAAGUACUUUCAGCGGGGAGGCGUUACCCGCAGAAGAAGCACCGGCUAACUCCGUGCCAGCAGCCGCGGUAAUAC